AUUGAACGCUGGCGGCAUGCCUAACACAUGCAAGUCGAACGGCAGCACGGCAGUAGCAAUACUGUGGGUGGCGAGUGGCGGACGGGUGAGGAAUACGUCGGAAUCUGCCCAGUCGUGGGGGAUAACUAGCCGAAAGGUUAGCUAAUACCGCAUACGACCGAGAGGUGAAAGCGGGGGACCGCAAGGCCUCGCGCGAUUGGAUGAGCCGACGUCGGAUUAGCUAGUUGGUGGGGUAAAGGCCCACCAAGGCGACGAUCCGUAGCUGGUCUGAGAGGAUGAUCAGCCACACUGGAACUGAGACACGGUCCAGACUCCUACGGGAGGCAGCAGUGGGGAAUAUUGGACAAUGGGCGCAAGCCUGAUCCAGCAAUGCCGCGUGUGUGAAGAAGGCCUUCGGUU
Molecule: ribosomal RNA, 399 nt
Filed under: uncultured bacterium
Lineage: Bacteria
Description: bacterial SSU rRNA
Rfam family: Bacterial small subunit ribosomal RNA
Source: RNAcentral